CACAACUCAAAUUUCCUCCUUCUAGAUAAUCUUGAAUAUGAAGUUCUUCUAGCUUCUAUCACUCUAUCCCUUGAAAAUGAUGGAUUAUAAGUCCUUUUCAUCUCCAAGAUCACCAAAAGAUGAUGUCCCACUCACCGAUCCCUCUAUUGAUCUCACUUUUUCUACCCGAGCUUUCCUUUUUAAUAAUAUCAAAUUGAUUCUCUAUGAGGAAUAACUCAACCUUGUUAGGUUACCCACAAUCAUUUUCAUUGAUGAUAUUGGUAUUUCUUACCUUGGUGGCUUAUAUAAAAUUCCUAAUGAGGCUACAAGUAUUGAUGAUUCUUCUUCUUUUGUUAAGUAUGAGUCGGAGGUUGUGGUGUUGGAAGUGUCUAGGGUUAAUGUUCAAGGAUAACAUGUUGUUAUUGAGAAUCUAAAACAGAGGGAGCCAUAGAGGAUGCACCUUGUGAGGGGGAGCCAUUGGGAGACCUUGCAUUUGACUUGAUUCGACUAUUAAACUCAACUUGGGUGCAUUUUGUAAGGGGAAUCACUAAGAGACUGCUCAGUUGAACCAAGUUCCUCUACCGGGCUCCAAUUAGACAAGGAUCUAAACUUGCUAUAUGAUGUUACUGAGUCUAGGGGUGAGAUGAAGAUAGCUUACCACUAAAGGAAUAGGUCGCUGCUACUUGUUCAUCUAUUUAAGCUAAAAUUGAUGAAUACAUUCCCAUAAUUAACAUCGUCACCACAAGGGCCAGUCUCACCUCAGGAAGGCCACAAUAAAGACUAUGAAAAUCCCUACUGAGGAAUCCAUAAAUGAUCCGCCUUUCCAAUAUUUUCCAGUUAGGGUGACUAGAUUGUAAAAAAGGCACUGGAUGAGGGCUUAAUUACCAUGUCUGCUUAGAAACCUCAUCCCCACAAGUUCUCAUUUGUUCCUCCUUCCAAUUAUAUUGAAAUCUUAGAUGAGGAAGUUGAGUAUGCUGAGUGAAAGACAAAGUGAAAAACUUUGAUGCCUUUCAAAUAAUCAAUGAAAUAGGACAAGCAGCCUGUACCUUCCAAGGUUUUUAUACAGUCUACACUAGUCGAUGAACCCACUGAUAGCGAGGAUGGUGAUGAGGGAGAGCCUUCCUGUAAAUAUCUUAGGUAGAGGACACUAAUGAUAAGGUUCUUUUGGGUGAUACGGAGGAUGAGAUUCACAACUAUAAGGACAUAAAGGACACCUUGGAUACUUGUACUGCUAUAAUAGUUAAUUUUGGUAAGACAAUGGUAAAAAUGCUAUUAGAUUUGGUAUAAUGUAAAUGGGUGAAUUAAUCCUUCUCAUUCGUGCACAAUGUAGGUCAAAAAUGUUCCUUCAAUAGGAUAAAAAGGGAAAAUGUGUAGGGUAAAGAAUAGGAAAUUCUAAAUCAAUGCUUUUGGUUCCUCUUCCUCCAUCUCUAGUAUGGUUAUGGAUGUUAUCAUUAAUCUUACCUUAGAACUACUGGCUUAAGUCUUGAGGGUUCCUAGUGAUGGUUGGUGUCAUUAUGUGAAGAGAUGUUGGCCUCCACUAAAUUUGAUGCCCUCAACACUGGAC
RNAcentral lists this long non-coding RNA (1543 nucleotides) under Capsicum annuum. Its description in RNAcentral is "long non-coding RNA (CANN_LNC009962)". Lineage: Eukaryota; Viridiplantae; Streptophyta; Magnoliopsida; Solanales; Solanaceae. The record is from RNAcentral.